Paramuricea clavata is the source of this 525-nucleotide non-coding RNA. NCBI's taxonomy places the organism in Eukaryota, Metazoa, Cnidaria, Anthozoa, Malacalcyonacea, Plexauridae. The record is from the annotation of a GenBank genome assembly.
AUAGUGAGCAAUUUAGUGACUUGGACAACGUGUUUACUUUUAGAUUGGCCACCAUGUGCCGCACUAUUCUAACAAUUAAUAUUCUUGGAUUUACAUACGUUUAUCUUCCUCUUGUCCGUGGACAGCCAAGGUUAGGAACACGAAGAGCGCAAUGUUAAUCAGCGACCGAUACGCCAUGAUAUCAACUCCAGCAGUGGACUAUUUUGGUGCAAAAUGUUUUUCAAGCACUACGCACCGUCACCCUGUAUUUUGAUCAAGCCGUGAUUUGAGGGCGACAGGGAGUUCAGACAAUGCGCGCUGAGUUAAUCAGAGGCAGGCGUCGACGUAUAAAUCUGUAAUUUCUGGCAUUGUGUGAAUAGUUUUAUUGACAGUGAUAUCUGAUAUGGUAUGAAGCCACUUCUAUAUUGAAAGUCAUUGGAAAGGAUUCGUACGUCCGUUUCCCUGAAAUCUGAUAUCGAGCAUCUUAUCCAGCAGAAACACUGUACUGAUGAACCAGGCGAGAAUGCACGGCCUUUCAACAGCUUU